GGAAUAUUGGGCAAUGGGCGCAAGCCUGACCCAGCGACGCCGCGUGAGGGAUGAAGGCCUUCGGGUUGUAAACCUCUUUCAGUAGGGAAGAAGCGAAAGUGACGGUACCUAAAGAAGAAGCACCGGCUAACUAUGUGCCAGCAGCCGCGGUAAUACAUAGGGUGCAAGCGUUGUCCGGAAUUAUUGGGCGUAAAGAGCUCGUAGGUCGUUUGCCACGUCGAUUGUGAAAAUCUGAGGCUCAACCUCAGGCCUGCAGUCGAUACGGGCAAACUAGAGUGUGGUAGGGGAGACUGGAAUUCCUGGUGUAGCGGUGGAAUGCGCAGAUAUCAGGAGGAACACCAAUGGCGAAAGCAGGUCUCUGGGCCAUAACUGACACUGAGGAGCGAAAGCGCGGGGAGCGAACAGGAUUAGAUACCCUGGUAGUCCGCGCCGUAAACGAUGGGCACUAGCUGUGAGAACCUUCCACGGUUUUCGCGACGCAGCAAACGCAUUAAGUGCCCCGCCUGGGGAGUACGAUCGCAAGAUUAAAACUCAAAUGAAUUGACGGA
This 548-nucleotide ribosomal RNA is filed under the name uncultured bacterium. RNAcentral's name for it is "bacterial SSU rRNA". It matches the Rfam family "Bacterial small subunit ribosomal RNA", at positions 358 to 917 of the family's 1533-position model. The record is from RNAcentral.